Molecule: ribosomal RNA, 497 nt
Filed under: uncultured bacterium
Lineage: Bacteria
Description: partial 16S ribosomal RNA
Rfam family: Bacterial small subunit ribosomal RNA
Source: RNAcentral
GAUGAACGCUGGCGGCGUGCCUAAUACAUGCAAGUCGAGCGAACAGACGAGGAGCUUGCUCCCCUGACGUUAGCGGCGGACGGGUGAGUAACACGUGGAUAACCUACCUAUAAGACUGGGAUAACUUCGGGAAACCGGAGCUAAUACCGGAUAAUAUAUUGAACCGCAUGGUUCAAUAGUGAAAGACGGUUUUGCUGUCACUUAUAGAUGGAUCCGCGCCGCAUUAGCUAGUUGGUAAGGUAACGGCCUACCAAGGCAACGAUGCGUAGCCGACCUGAGAGGGUGAUCGGCCACACUGGAACUGAGACACGGUCCAGACUCCUACGGGAGGCAGCAGUAGGGAAUCUUCCGCAAUGGGCGAAAGCUUGACGGAGCAACGCCGCGUGAGUGAUGAAGGUCUUCGGAUCGUAAAACUCUGUUAUUAGGGAAGAACAAAUGUGUAAGUAACUAUGCACGUCUUGACGGUACCUAAUCAGAAAGCCACGGCUAACUACGUG